AACGAACGCUGGCGGCAUGCCUAACACAUGCAAGUCGAACGAGAUCUUCGGGUCUAGUGGCGCACGGGUGCGUAACGCGUGGGAAUCUGCCCUUUGGUUCGGAAUAACAGUUGGAAACGCCUGCUAAUACCGGAUGAUGACGAAAGUCCAAAGAUUUAUCGCCAGAGGAUGAGCCCGCGUAGGAUUAGCUAGUUGGUGUGGUAAAGGCGCACCAAGGCGACGAUCCUUAGCUGGUCUGAGAGGAUGAUCAGCCACACUGGGACUGAGACACGGCCCAGUCUCCUACGGGAGGCAGCAGUGGGGAAUAUUGGACAAUGGGCGAAAGCCUGAUCCAGCAAUGCCGCGUGAGUGAUGAAGGCCUUAGGGUUGUAAAGCUCUUUUACCCGGGAUGAUAAUGACAGUACCGGGAGAAUAAGCUCCGGCUAACUCCGUGCCAGCAGCCGCCGUAA
RNAcentral lists this ribosomal RNA (449 nucleotides) under uncultured bacterium. Its description in RNAcentral is "partial 16S ribosomal RNA". It matches the Rfam family "Bacterial small subunit ribosomal RNA", at positions 29 to 523 of the family's 1533-position model. The record is from RNAcentral.